Molecule: long non-coding RNA, 1126 nt
Filed under: Homo sapiens (human)
Lineage: Eukaryota; Metazoa; Chordata; Mammalia; Primates; Hominidae
Description: HSALNT0144653
Source: RNAcentral
CUUGGAAUUAGAAAGGGCCCUAAAUGUAGUGGUGAGUGUCCUUAUAAAAAGGGAGAAGAACACACACACACACAUACACACAUGAUGUGAACAUCGAGGCAAUUCGGAGUGAAGCGUCUGCAUGCCAAGGGGCACCGAGGACUUCCAGCAGCCACUAGAAACCGGGAGGGAGGCCUGAAAUAGAUUAUCCGUCACAGGCUCAGAAGGAAGCAGACCUGCUGACAUCUUCAUUUUGGACCUGUAAAAUCCUGAACUAUGAGAUGGGGAAGGGUGGAAGAGAGGAGGAGAAACAUAGGGCACCAGAGUAUUUGAGGACCUACAGAACAGCAGGAGCUCAAGACGGUCUACCACUGGAUACAAAAAAAGAGCCACCAGGCUGGCUGGAUGCAGAAGAGAGAGAUACAAGACCACAUGAUGGAAGGGGCCAUCCUCACUGACUUCACCACCUGGAAGGAAGCUAUGGAGGAGAAUUGCCCAAACAAAUACAACUGCAUCAAAUUUUGCCUCUGUAAGAAAUAGAUCUUUGUUAUGCUACAAUAGGUCCCUGAGAUUUGGAUUUUAUUUGUUAUAGUAGCUAGCAUUAUUUUUACUUAAUAAAUGGUUCUUAAUAAAUGGUUUACUUAAUAAAUGGUUCUCACGGUUCUGUAAAGCUGCAACAUGCUUUUAAAAUGUUCAGACACAAUGAUCAAACAACAGGAAGCCAAUAAAGGACUUUAUAAAAUUUAGUUCUGGAUCAGUGCAUUAUCUGGCCUUUUCUUGGGUCUUUGUUAGACUUUGACAUUCUAUUAGUGGAUUGUUAAGAUACCUGCGUGCAUUAAUACACAUUCAAUUGUGAGUUUUAAACCCUCUACUCAUCUCUCUUUUCAAUUUGGAAUUAAUUUCACUUGUGUGAUUAAUGGUCUAGGAAAGCGUUUUGAUUACAUUAUCUCAUUUGAUUCUUGUUAGAAGUUUCACAAUUAACACAUGAAAGCUAUCAUUUUUGAAGGUUGCUAUAUUCCACGUCCUCUUGCUUAUACUGGAAGAGUCAGAAACAAAACAAAACUUAGAGGAGUUUCUUUUUUUUCUAAUUGCAUCUAUCUUUCAGUUUCAGUUCUAAAAUAAUAAAAAAUUUGUAUAAAAGUUCCCC